Long non-coding RNA from Glossina fuscipes, 1080 nucleotides. RefSeq lists it as uncharacterized. The transcript has 3 exons. The record is from RefSeq and is a predicted model, not a curated record. Lineage: Eukaryota; Metazoa; Arthropoda; Insecta; Diptera; Glossinidae.
AUAAAAAAAAAAUUGAAAAAUACUAUAAAAAUUUAAAAAAAAAUAUGUAAAUAAUGCAACAAAAAAAAUUUUACCCUCGCCUAAGGAUUUGAAAUCCAACGACAAAACAAAAAAAAAAUUAAAUUUUUCCUAUUCUCGCGAAACUAAUGGGGAAGCUGUGCUGUUGCAAUGAUUGAUGCGGUUGCCGUUUCAUUUUACUGUACAAGAAUUGCCAAGCUGCGUACGCCUUUUAAUGGCGUUUUUUCCGAGUUGUCGCCUUGACCAAGAACUUAUGACCCUUCGAGCAAUUCUUGCGGUAUUUUUAAAAUUAACUCUAACAAGAGACCGUGACAAGCUAAACACCUGGCCGAGGAACAACUUCAAUGAGAAUGCUAUAUGCACAAUACUAGUUACUAGUUACAAAGACUAACAACCUACUAUUUACAGGUUUGUUCUCACAACCACAUUACUUGUAUACUGAGAUAUAUGGAAAAACAACCAGCGACAAUACUGCAGAUCUUAAGGGCAAUGAUAAAUGAAAUGAUGAUUUUACUUUAAUUACCGGCCAAUAGGGUUCAUAAGCACACAUUUAAAAGACAUAUUUUAAGUGAUAAUGAUUUAUCGCUUCUAGAUGAUUGAUGAGUAGUUACGAAAAUUUUGACUAUACAAUUCUAAGCGUUUUUAUAAGCAAGUACAACCCAUUUUUCAAUACAAUCUGUAAAAUGAUAUAUGUAACGAUUUUCUUGAAUUUUUUAUACUUCAUUUUAAUUUUUGCAAUCUUCUGACAUCACGCACGAACGAAGGAACAAUCGGAGAGAGAGAGAAGAAUUCGGUUAACUCUGUCGUGCGGAGAUCUUGCAACACGAACCUAUCUUUCUAAUUGUAACAAACGAUAUGAAAAACUUAUGCUGCUCCUAUUCAUUUAGCUUGGCGAGUGGAAAAACGUGUUCAAUUGCAAAUCAAUCGGCUAUAAGCGGAAAUUAUUUAUUUUAUGGCUCGUUAAAUAACAUUUGUGAUAAUAUGCGCUGAUGGUAAUGAAGAUGGCGCGAUGAUGACUGAGGGGAGAAAAACAAGUCUUCAAUUUAUUUAUGUAGGCAUUGA